Molecule: non-coding RNA, 80 nt
Filed under: unclassified sequences
Description: S15-Methanomicrobia ribosomal protein leader
Rfam family: S15-Methanomicrobia ribosomal protein leader
Source: RNAcentral
AGCACUUUUUGAAUAGUGCUGGCAGAAGUAAGUCCGACUCGUGCCCCAACGGGGCACUGCCCUUUGUGGCUGGGGAUUAC